CUCUGCUACUCCACAUUCUGAUAUUGUUACCUAUUCUGUCAUCAACAUACGGCUUCCGCUUCUCUCUCAUGCUCGCCUGAAGGCUCUCCUUUAAGCCACAAGCCAGAAAUUUGGUCUGCAAUAAAGAACAGCCUCAGAGCUCACGAAAAGGACUCUGCCAGGUAUUUUUUUAACAACUGAUAUUUCAGAAAAUAGACUUAGAAGGUGACAUCGCUUAGAAAAUUGCAGAGGGACGUGGGAUUUCCAGGAUGCUUUGUAAUUCAGUACCAGAUAAUUUUAUAGAAGCCAACUGAUGACUCAAGCUCUAAUGGAAGAAGAAUAAAUUAAGAAUGACUGAAGGAACUCAAGAAGAACAUCUAAUUGUGAUCAUUUAUUUUGGAAUAAUGCUGAGACGUCAUGCAAGUGGAAUUAUACAAUAUAGUUGAUACACUCUUAUCCAGAGGGAUACGUUCCAAGACCCACAGUGGAUGCCUGAAGCCAGGGAUAGUACCAAACUACGUGAAAUGAUAAAACACCUACGUGAUGACAUGAAAUGAGGGGAAUGACCUAGGCACUGAGACAUAGCAUUGGGUUGCUAUUGACUUUCUGGCCAUAUGUCAGAAGGAGGACCAUCUGUUUCUGGACUGUGGUUGACCACAGGUAACUGAGACCACAGAGAGCAAAAGGGGAGAUCACGGAUGGCCGGGGGAGGGGAGGAUUAUAUUUGAAUUUUUACAUCCGGCUUAUUUCACUUGGCAUAAGAUUUUUCAAGUUUCAUCUAUUUUGUAGCAUUUAUCAGAACUUCACUGUUUUUUUUUUAAGUUUAUUUAUUUAUUUUUGAGGAAGAGAGAGAGCGCAUGGUGGAGGGGAAGAAAAAAGGGACGGAGCGAGAAUCCCAAGCAGGCUCUGCACAGUCAGCCUAGAGAUCGAUCCAGGGCUCAAAGUCAACGAACCUCAAAAUCAUGACCUGAGCCAAAAUCCAGAGUCAGAUGCUUAACCGACUGAGCCACCCAGGCACCCUAGAACAUCACUUUUUAUAGCUGAAUAACAUUCUAUUAUGUGUAUAUAUUACAUUUUCUUUAUCCAUUCAUCAGUUGAGAGACAUCCAGAUUGUUUCCACCUUUGGCUGUUGUGAAUAAUUCUGCAGUGAGCAAGUAUCUGCUUGAGGCCCUGUUGUAAUUCUUUGGGGUAUAUACUUAAGAAAGGAAUUGCUGGGUCAUCUUCUUGAUCUAUGUCUAAUCUCAGUUUAAUAACUGUAUGUUUGCCUUUUGUUCCCUCUAACUCCUCCAAAUUCAGAAACAAAUACUUCCAUUGAGUUUCUUUACCUUUAAUGGCCAGGUAAUUAUUUGCAUUCAUUUACUGAAACUAAUCAGAAUGUAAUUGAACAAACUUUUUAAUAAAGGCUGUACCUGGAGUGUCAUGUUUCAGAAUAAAUCUCACUUAUUCAGUUAUGAAAAACCCACCAUUAAGGGUCAAGGUUCGCACUUCAUGGGUGGAACCAACGCCUACAAAGUUCUCCUUGAAAACUGUUCUCAUGUUUGUUCUGUCUUACAGGGUCCCAGACUUACAGGGAGACAUUAGGAGAAACCUUAGGAGAUUGGAGACAUUUCAGAAAGAGGAACUCACACAGAUUCCUAGGUACUUCAGGCAGAAUCUGACAGAGAUAGAUUUCUGGGGGUUGGCUUUUUAGCCUCCAAAUAGAAGAAAUACAAGCAAUGAUUUAUUUAAGCACUGGGGAAUAGAGAUUAUUGAAAAAUGCAAUCUUGGGUUUUUAUAAAAUCUUUGACAAUGUUUUUUAUUUUGAUGGUUGCUUAAUACCAUAUGACUCUAGACUUGAUGACUAUCCUAUAGUGCAUAUAUGUAUUCAUUAAUAUUGAAUGCUGCACCCAUGAGGCCACACCUUUUUGAAACAAGAAUAUUCCAUGGAGAAAAUUUAUAAACACACAUUUUAAAAAUCCAGAACUUGGAAAUAGAUAAAAAGAUGGCUCAUAUCCUUUCCAAUCAUACCCAGAGCAUUAUCCAACAGGACUACCCAAGGAUUGUCUGAUUCUCUAAGCAUAUAUGCUUUAAUCAUUUACUAUUAAUUAGGGUAUGCUACAAAUCUAUAAGGAUAGAC
Long non-coding RNA from Acinonyx jubatus (cheetah), 2095 nucleotides. RefSeq lists it as uncharacterized. Lineage: Eukaryota; Metazoa; Chordata; Mammalia; Carnivora; Felidae. The record is from RefSeq and is a predicted model, not a curated record. The transcript is spliced from 3 exons.